ACCAAUUAUAUGUAUAUGUGUGCAUGUGUACAUACAUAUGUACACAUGCCAUCCAAAGUGUGUGUGUCUGUGUGUGUGUAUAUAUAUGUACACACACACACACAUAUAUAUAUAUAUAUAUU
This 122-nucleotide microRNA precursor is filed under the name Marmota monax (woodchuck). The record is from RNAcentral. Lineage: Eukaryota; Metazoa; Chordata; Mammalia; Rodentia; Sciuridae.